AUGAAUCUCCUAAGCUGGAAUUGUCGUGGGAUUGGCAACGCCCCGACAAUUCAAGAGCUACACGAAAUCGCGAGAAAGUUUGCCCCUAAAGUACUAUGUAUUGUGGAAACCCAGAUUAGUGGUGAGAGAGCAGAAAAUCUUAAGAGUACUUUAGAUUAUGAUAAUUCUUUUGUCGUUGGUUCCUCUGGUAGGAGUGGAGGUUUAUGUAUCUUCUGGAACAACGAAAUAAAGAUUGAGAAUUUGGGGUACUCCAAGUAUCACAUAGAUGUAAAGAUCAGUAUUCUUGGGGGAGAACCAUGGAGACUGUCUUGUUUCUAUGGGGAGGCCCAAACGCACUUGAGGCAUCAAAACUGGACCACUAUGAGAAAUCUGGCCACCCUACACGACAUGGCCUGGUUGUGUUUGGGGGAUUUUAACGAGGUUCUGCGCCAAGAGGAGCAUGAUGGGAUUGUUGGAAAUAUGCCCUAG
Molecule: ribosomal RNA, 468 nt
Filed under: Triticum aestivum (bread wheat)
Lineage: Eukaryota; Viridiplantae; Streptophyta; Magnoliopsida; Poales; Poaceae
Description: partial small subunit ribosomal RNA
Source: RNAcentral